UGAUGGUGAUGGUGGUGAUGGUGAUGGUGAUGGUGGUGGUGGUGAUGGUGACGGUGGUGAUGAUGGUGAUGGUGGUGGUGGUGAUGGUGGUGGUGAUGGUGGUGUGGUGAUGGUGACGGUAAUGGUGGUGGUGGUGAUGGUGAUGAUGGUGAUGGUAAUGGUGGUGAUGGUGGUGAUGGUGGUGAUGGUGAUGGUGGUGAUGGUGAUGGUAAUGGUGGUGAUGGUGAAGGUGGUGAAUGAUGGUGAUGGUGAUGAUGGUGGUGAUGGUGAUGGUGGUGAUGGUGGUGAUGGUGAUGGUGGUGAUGGUGGUGAUGGUGAUGGUGGUGAUG
Molecule: long non-coding RNA, 329 nt
Organism: Ictalurus punctatus (channel catfish)
Lineage: Eukaryota; Metazoa; Chordata; Actinopteri; Siluriformes; Ictaluridae
Source: Ensembl